This 2831-nucleotide ribosomal RNA is filed under the name Candidatus Wolfebacteria bacterium CG_4_10_14_0_2_um_filter_39_18. RNAcentral describes it as "bacterial LSU rRNA". It matches the Rfam family "Bacterial large subunit ribosomal RNA". The record is from RNAcentral. Lineage: Bacteria; Candidatus Wolfeibacteriota.
AGGGCAGAUGGUGGAUGCCUUGGGAUAUCGAGGCGAUGAAGGACGUGGCGUGACUGCGAUAAGCCUCGGGGAGGUGUUUAGCAACCUUUGAUCCGGGGAUUUCCGAAUGGGGAAACCUGAGUGCCCCUUAGGCACUCGGUCCGCCGAUGAGGCGGACGGCGAACCCGCUGAAGUGAAACAUCUCAGUAAGCGGAGGAAAAGAAACCAAUGAUCAUAAAGAUCUUAUUCCCUUAGUAGCGGCGAGCGAAAAGGGAAGAGCCUAAACCAAACAUAUAAAUUUUUUAUGUGUUUGGGGUUGUAAGGAAAUAUUGUCUGGAACCGAGCACAUAAAAUUUUUAUGUGCCUGGUUCAAGAGGGAGAACACUUAGGUAAAGUUUCGUUAGUUGAAUGACCCUGGAAAGGGCAACCAAAGAGGGUAAUAGUCCCGUAAAUGAAAACGACUUUAUGCUCCUUGAUAUUUUACUUGAGUACCUUGGGAAAUGAAAAUCCUGAGGGAAGCAGGCCGGACUAUCGGCCAAGGCUAAAUACUACGAUAUCACCAAUAGUGAACCAGUACCGUGAGGGAAAGGUGAAAAGUAGCGAGGUGAUCGCGGUGAAAUAGAACCUGAAACCAUUUUGCCCACAAGGAGUCGGAGGGACGUAACGCGCAAGCGUGUACGUUCUGACGGCGUGCCUAUUGAAGAAUGAGCCAACGAGUUCGAGUACGUAGCUUGUCUAAAUCCUUUUAGGAUGAAGGCACAGCGAAAGCAAGUGUUAAAAGCGCGUUAUGCUAUUUACUCGAGACCCGAAGCCAAGCGAGCUUGCCAUGGCCAGGGUGAAGUUUGACGAAAGUCAGAUGGAGGCCCGAACCCGUGAGCCGUGCAAUACUCUGGGAUGAGCUGUGGUAAGAAGUGAAAAGCUAAUCGAGCUUGGUAAUAGCUGGUUCUCCCCGAAAUAACUUUAGGGUUAGCCUGAGCAUAUAACUACCUACAGGGGUAGAGCACUAAAUGGAUUAUCGUGGGUUUUACCUAGGCAAUCCAAUUAAACUCCGAAUACUGUAGGUAUGUGCUUGGAGUUAGACUGUGGGGGCUAAGCUCCAUAGUCAAAAGGGAAACAGCCCAGACCUUCAUCUAAGGUCCCUAAAUUUGAGCUAAGUGCAGCAAAGGAAGUAGGAAUCCAUUGAUAGUUAGGAGGUUAGCUUAGAAGCAGCUAUCCUUUAAAAAGUGCGUAAUAGCUUACUAAUUAAGGAAUUCUGCGCCAAAAAUUUACAGGGCUAAAGCUCAAUACCGAAGAUAAGGCUGAGUACUCAAUUCGUUGAGUGCUCGGGGUAGGGGAGCGUCCCUAUUGCAAUGAAGUUCCGCCGUAAGGUCGGGAUGGAGCGAUGGGGAGUGAGAAUGUUGGCAUGAGUAACCGCAAUCCCGGUGAAAGCCCGGGACACCGAAAUCCUAAGGUUUCCUUGGCAAUGACGAUCAACCAAGGGUUAGGCGGGCCUAAGGCGUAGCCGAAAGGCGAAGCUGAUGGACAGCCGGUUAAUAUUCCGGCCCCCGGGUACAUAAUUCUGAAGAGGGGACGGAGUCUAGUAGUCUAAGCAAGUUAUUGGAUUCUUGUCGCUAACUUAAGGAUUUUCCAAGAGUUAGCGGGAAGCUUCGGUUCGCCGGAGUGAACUUAGAUGAGCAGGCUCCCAAGAAAAGCCUUUUCAGAAGUUAAUUAUGUGCCUGGUCCGUACCGUAAACCAACACAGGUAGGAUGGCGUAAGAGUGCCAAGGUGAACGGGUGAAACCUCGUUAAGGAACUCGGCAAAAAAGCGUCCGUAAGUUCGCGAUAUGGGCUCCCCAUUAGAUAAUUUAUCUAACGGGAUGCAACGAACGAUCCCCUAGCGACUGUUUAUCAAAAACACAGGUCCCUGCUUAACUCGUAAGAGAAUGUAUAGGGGCUGAGGCCUGACCAGUGCUGGAACGUCAACAGCGGCGGUUCAAGCGCAUAAUUCGUAUGUGUUUGAGCUAACCGCUCGAAGCGCCAGUGAACGUCCGCCGUAACUAUAACGGUGUUAAAGUAGCGUAGUCCCUUGCCAGGUAAGUUCUGGCCCGCAUGAAAGGCUUAACGACUAGGGGACUGUCUCAACGAGGAGCCCGGUGAAAAUGCAAUACCGGUAAAGAUGCCGGUUACCUGCGGCUAGACGGAAAGACCCCGGGAGCUUUACUGUAGUCAGAUAUUGAAUUUUGGUUUUGGAUGCGUAGCGUAGAAGGGAGACUUUGAAGUCCGCCUUUCGGGGCGGAUGGAGUCGUCAAUGAAACACCUUUCUUUUAAAACUUUUGUUCUAAUCCUGAGAUUAUCGAAGGAAACAGUGUCUGGCGGUCAGUUUAAGUGGGGCGCUUGCCUCCUAAAAGGUAACGGAGGCGUUUAAAGGUCGGCUAGCUCCGGAUGGAAAUCGGAGUGAUCGGGCAAAGCCAAAAGCCGGCUUUACUGCAAGCAGGAUAUUGCGCGCAGUUGGGAAACCAGAACUUAGUGAACCGACCGUGGUUAGUAGAAUCGCGGAAGAUCAUCAGCUAAAAGUUACCCCGGGGAUAGACUCUGAAAUAAGAGUUUGUUGUCCAAUCCCGCAGCAAUGCGGGAAAUGUACGGCUUAUAACGGUGAACCAAAAACUGGUCUUCCUCUUUUUGAGGUUUUAAGUUUUUGGAAUACCGUGGGAAGUCGGAAGGAAGUUUGUUUUACUUUAUGAUUUCUUUAUCUCGUGAACAAAAAUCAAUUCUCUUUGGAACAAUUCUCGGAGACGGUUAUUUACAAAAAACUGGCAAGAAGAACGCAAGAUUACGUUUAGAGCAUGGAGGAAAACAAAAAGAAUAUCUUUUGU